RNAcentral lists this ribosomal RNA (609 nucleotides) under uncultured Pseudomonadota bacterium. RNAcentral describes it as "bacterial SSU rRNA". It matches the Rfam family "Bacterial small subunit ribosomal RNA", at positions 825 to 1435 of the family's 1533-position model. The record is from RNAcentral. Lineage: Bacteria; Pseudomonadati; Pseudomonadota.
GGGAGGGUUGCCUCUCGGUGUUGCAGCUAACGCGUUAAGUUCUCCGCCUGGGGAGUACGCCGGCAACGGUAAAACUCAAAGGAAUUGACGGGGUCCCGCACAAGCGGUGGAGCAUGUGGUUUAAUUCGAUGCAACGCGAAGAACCCUACCUGCCCUUGACAUCCUCAGAACUUGUUAGAGAUAACUUGGUGCCUUCGGGAAUUGAGUGACAGGUGCUGCAUGGCUAUCGUCAGCUCGUGUCGUGAGAUGUUGGGUUAAGUCCCGCAACGAGCGCAACCCUUGUCCCUAGUUGCCAGCACUUCGGGUGGGAACUCUAGGGAGACUGCCGGUGACAAACCGGAGGAAGGUGGGGACGACGUCAAGUCAUCAUGGCCCUUAUGGGCAGGGCUACACACGUGCUACAAUGGCGAAUACAGAGGGCCGCCAACCAGCGAUGGUGAGCUAAUCCCUUAAAACUCGUCGUAGUCCGGAUCGGAGUCUGCAACUCGACUCCGUGAAGUCGGAAUCGCUAGUAAUCGCGAAUCAGAAUGUCGCGGUGAAUACGUUCCCGGGUCUUGUACACACCGCCCGUCACACCAUGGAAGUAGGUUGCACCAGGAGUAGGUAGCU